This is a long non-coding RNA of Phoenix dactylifera (date palm), 581 nucleotides long. RefSeq lists it as uncharacterized. The record is from RefSeq and is a predicted model, not a curated record. Lineage: Eukaryota; Viridiplantae; Streptophyta; Magnoliopsida; Arecales; Arecaceae.
CGAGUCCUGCGUUAAAGAUACGAAAGGAGGGAACACAGAAGUCGAGGAACGGUCUUCUUCCUUCUCUUUUUCUUGGAUCCAAAAGUUUUGAAACGAGAACGCAUGGACUUCCGAAGGAGAUUCUAAUAUAUAGGCCAAGGGUUUUUGAUUAUUUAAGUGUGUUCCGACGGAACAUUGGAACGAACACCUGGGAGGAGUAAAUUCGAACCAGUAAGAAAAGUCGCUGGAAGGUCAGCUGCUCCGGCUCGGACAUCGAAUAGCCUGCCAUGCCUGUCGCCAUUGAAGUCAAGAAGGAAAUGCUCCGCUGACCAAUCAAUUUGUGUUUUUUUUAAUAUAUAUCAAAACGGUAUGUAAUUUAUUUUGUUGAAUGGACCAGAAAUUACUUACUGGGACCUACUUAUACGUUGGGACGAUAUCUGGUGCGACUUUUAUGGUGACGCAAUGUCCUCCGUUUCCUACCUCCCUUCCCCGCCCCCCGCCCCUAAAAAAUAUAUUUAUAUGUGGGAAAGAGAUAAAUCUUAUUACUUAAAGUAUAUGUAACGUUCCAGUUCAAAUUAUAUUACUUAUUAAUUAAUAUUUUA